CUGACUCUCUACAUAUAGAGGCCACACACAUAGAAAUCUUGCCACCCUCCUUCAAUCCUUUUGUCUUGCCAAAAUCAGCAGCAUACUAACAUGUCUUACCGUGAGUUUGAAAUUCUACUUGCACUUCAUUUUUUGAAAGGCGAAACAAAAAUGUAUCUGAGUUAGGAUUCGCCAUUAUCAACAAACCCGAAUGGCGAUGCAAUUAUUGUUGUCCACACUCCUGAAUUUCUCAACACAAUUAAUACACCUGGUCUUCCAAAUCACAAACUCAGGUUAAAGGUUGGUGUUCCAGUGAUGUUGUUAAGGAAUAUAGAUCAAAGAUCAGGAUUAUGCAAUGACACAAGACUAAUCAUAACUAGAAUGGAUAAAUUUGUGCUUGAAGGAAAGGUCAUAUUCGAAGCAAUAUAUGCAAGAAUUUUUUUUUUUUAUACCAAGAUUAUCUCUUACUCCUUCUGAUGUCAUGAUACCUUUCAAAUUUCAACGGAGACAAGUUCCGAUAGCUGUUUCUUUUGCAAUGACUAUUAACAAAAGUCAAGGACAGUCUCUGAAGAAAGUUGAGAUAUAUUUGCAAGUCAUGUGUUUUCACACGGUCAGUUAUAUGUGUCAAUAUCAAGAGUUACCUCCAGAGAUGGAUUGAAGAUACUUACAACGGAUGAAAAUGUUCAAGAUGCCAAUGUGACUUCAAAUGUACUAUAUCCAAAAGUAUUUCGUAAUGUAAGAUACGUUGUGCUAAAAAUCAAUGAUUUUUGUAUGAUAUUUUGAUUUAUUGCAUUCCAAUGGUAGCAACAAAUUAUAUUACUGAAGUCACCAUUAUGCGACUA
Molecule: long non-coding RNA, 821 nt
Organism: Medicago truncatula (barrel medic)
Lineage: Eukaryota; Viridiplantae; Streptophyta; Magnoliopsida; Fabales; Fabaceae
Exons: 2
Source: RefSeq, a predicted model, not a curated record